UAACACGUGAGCAAUCUGCCCUUCACUUCGGGAUAACUCCGGGAAACCGGUGCUAAUACCGAAUAUGACCACUUCACGCAUGUGAUGGUGGUGGAAAGUUCUGGCGGUGGAGGAUGAGCUCGCGGCCUAUCAGCUUGUUGGUGGGGUAAUGGCCCACCAAGGCAACGACGGGUAGCCGGCCUGAGAGGGUGACCGGCCACACUGGGACUGAGACACGGCCCAG
Molecule: ribosomal RNA, 223 nt
Filed under: uncultured bacterium
Lineage: Bacteria
Description: partial 16S ribosomal RNA
Rfam family: Bacterial small subunit ribosomal RNA
Source: RNAcentral